GACGAACGCUGGCGGCGUGCUUAACACAUGCAAGUCGAACGGAAAGGCCCUGCUUUUGUGGGGUGCUCGAGUGGCGAACGGGUGAGUAACACGUGAGUAACCUGCCCUUGACUUUGGGAUAACUUCAGGAAACUGGGGCUAAUACCGGAUAGGAGCUCCUGCUGCAUGGUGGGGGUUGGAAAGUUUCGGCGGUUGGGGAUGGACUCGCGGCUUAUCAGCUUGUUGGUGGGGUAGUGGCUUACCAAGGCUUUGACGGGUAGCCGGCCUGAGAGGGUGACCGGCCGCAGUGGGACUGAGAUACGGCCCAGACUCCUACGGGAGGCAGCAGUGGGGAAUAUUGAACCAUGGGCGGAAGCCUGAUGCAGCAACGCCGCGGGCGGGAUGACGGCCUUCGGGUUGUAAACCGCUUUCGCCUGUGACGAAGCGUGAGUGACGGUAAUGGGUAAAGAAGCACCGGCUAACUACGUGC
RNAcentral lists this ribosomal RNA (469 nucleotides) under uncultured bacterium. RNAcentral describes it as "partial 16S ribosomal RNA". It matches the Rfam family "Bacterial small subunit ribosomal RNA", at positions 28 to 508 of the family's 1533-position model. The record is from RNAcentral.